RNAcentral lists this long non-coding RNA (283 nucleotides) under Manihot esculenta (cassava). RNAcentral describes it as "long non-coding RNA (MESC_LNC002281)". The record is from RNAcentral. Lineage: Eukaryota; Viridiplantae; Streptophyta; Magnoliopsida; Malpighiales; Euphorbiaceae.
GGAAAGUAAUUUGAAAUUCAAAUUUCAAAUCUUUAAGAGAAUUCAAAAUUCAAAAUCAAGAUUCAGCUCAUUAAGGAGAGUGCUAAAUAAGGAAAGUGCAGUCAACAGAGCAAUUGGAAAUUCAAGAUCUCCAAGAAUCCUUUUCCUUAUUGAAGAAGCCAAAUCUUUAGAAGAUGCACAUUCAAAUUUGAAAUUCAAAUUCAGCUUGUCAAAGAAGUCAAAGAAGUCACACAUGCCACCUCAAGUCUUGCACAUUCAAAAUUCAAAAUUCAAAAGGAGGCUC